Cotesia glomerata is the source of this 341-nucleotide long non-coding RNA. RefSeq lists it as uncharacterized. Lineage: Eukaryota; Metazoa; Arthropoda; Insecta; Hymenoptera; Braconidae. The record is from RefSeq and is a predicted model, not a curated record. The transcript is spliced from 2 exons.
AAAUUUAUUUUAAAGCUGUUAGUUCUCUUAAUUUGUUCAAAAAAUUAAUUUAUUUAAAUUAAAAAAUUAAUUAUGUCAAAGUUAAUAUUGAUUUUGCUUUUAAUCACCAUAAUGGCUGUAGGAGCCAAUGCUUGUCUUAGUUAUCGGGCAAUCUGCGAUCGGCACAGUGAUUGCUGCAGUAAAUAUUGCAAAAGGAGCAUCGUCGCCGAACCUUCAUGUGCAGAAACCUAAAUAUAUAUAUAUAUAUAUAUAUAUAUAUAUAUAUAUAUAUAUAUAUAUAUAUAUAUAUAUAUAUAUAUAUAUAUAUAUAUAUAUAUAUAUAUAUCAUUUAUUUUAAUAAA